RNAcentral lists this transfer RNA (71 nucleotides) under Ictidomys tridecemlineatus (thirteen-lined ground squirrel). RNAcentral's name for it is "Spermophilus tridecemlineatus (thirteen-lined ground squirrel) tRNA". It matches the Rfam family "tRNA". Rfam says of the family: Transfer RNA (tRNA) molecules are approximately 80 nucleotides in length. Their secondary structure includes four short double-helical elements and three loops (D, anti-codon, and T loops). Further hydrogen bonds mediate the characteristic L-shaped molecular structure. tRNAs have two regions of fundamental functional importance: the anti-codon, which is responsible for specific mRNA codon recognition, and the 3' end, to which the tRNAs corresponding amino acid is attached (by aminoacyl-tRNA synthetases). tRNAs cope with the degeneracy of the genetic code in two manners: having more than one tRNA (with a specific anti-codon) for a particular amino acid; and 'wobble' base-pairing, i.e. permitting non-standard base-pairing at the 3rd anti-codon position. Lineage: Eukaryota; Metazoa; Chordata; Mammalia; Rodentia; Sciuridae. The record is from Rfam by way of RNAcentral.
GGGGUUGUGGCUCAGCAGUAGAGCACUCGCCUCGCACGUGUGAGGCUCUGGGUUCGAUCCUCAGCACCCCA